RNAcentral lists this non-coding RNA (30 nucleotides) under Homo sapiens (human). The record is from RNAcentral. Lineage: Eukaryota; Metazoa; Chordata; Mammalia; Primates; Hominidae.
UGCCUGGUGGUUCCUAUUGACUAGAUGGUU